This 885-nucleotide long non-coding RNA is filed under the name Astyanax mexicanus (Mexican tetra). RNAcentral describes it as "lncRNA (ENSAMXG00005024374.1)". Lineage: Eukaryota; Metazoa; Chordata; Actinopteri; Characiformes; Acestrorhamphidae. The record is from RNAcentral.
CUUUAGUAGGGCUGGGUAUUAUUUUAACAUUUUUUAACAAAAAACAAUACUUUUUUGUUGAUACCUUUUUCUAAAUUGUAACAAAAAAUAUACAAAAACUAUAAUCAUUCUCAUACAAGCCAACAUGAGUAAUAUCAAUCUCAUACUCUCAUCAUGAGAGGCUCCAUCUUUUCGAUCUUGUUGCUAAUGUGAGCAUUUCUGUAACAUAGGAGCAGGCGGGGAGCAGAGCAGACGGGAGGCGGACUCAUAAGCGGGAGCAGAUAUGGAGGCUUUAUAAACCACCUGGAUUAUGGCUUCACUUGCUGUAUGGGGAGGAAGACCACGAUGAAGAUCCUGAUGAGUUUCCCUUUUUUUCUUUUGGCCCUAGCAGGUGCUUUGUUAGCAGUCGAUCCGAGGACUGACAGUCCUACUGAUGGUCUGCACCAUGUGCUCGUCACUACUCGUUAUGAUGAUCUCGGCCACUGUGGGGGAACUCUGAUCAGUUCUGAGUGGGUCCUAACUGCAGCCUACUGCAAACAGUCGUAAGAGCCUGUACAACAAUCAUAUACUAGAUACAGUACCAGUUAAAAGUUUCUUAAUUUAUUUAAUUGGCAUUGUAGAUUAAUAUUGAACACAUGAAAAAAAAUUAAGGGACACAAAAAAGUGUUUGUUCUCCACAACCCCCUGUCCAAAACUCCACUGAGAUGGUGAUUUAAUGUGGUUUGGGAUGAGCUGGAGCAACUAUUGUUCAGCACCUCCAGCAAAUCCUUCAAGAUGCCUCAGUGUGACACUAACAGGAGUGUGUAGAUCUCUUAAUGUCUUCAAUAUUAUAUUUACAUUGUAGUAAAUACUAAAAAGAACGAAAAAUUGAAUAAAAGGUAUGUCGAAACAUUUGAUAGGUACUGU